Molecule: long non-coding RNA, 407 nt
Filed under: Callithrix jacchus (white-tufted-ear marmoset)
Lineage: Eukaryota; Metazoa; Chordata; Mammalia; Primates; Cebidae
Description: lncRNA (ENSCJAG00000067516.2)
Source: RNAcentral
UAUUAGCUUUAUUACUAUAAAUACUAAUGAUUCCUGAAUAGGCUUUUUGUCUUUAACUUGAGACUCCUUCCUUCAUAACAGCUAUAUGACAACAGAGCAAGCUCUGAGGAGUGAGAUUUGAGAGCCUAGAGAAAAAAAAAAUCAAUAAAACUAAUUUGAGAACUCAUCUGAAACAAAGAAUUGUAUUCUCCAGAGACAUGAAUGGAAGAAAAGAGAAAGAGAGAGAGAGAAGAAAGUUGCCCGUGCUUCAUUCAUUUAACCUCUACUACCGUGCUGAACAGAAGUGAUGAAAGUGGACAUCUUUGCUUCAUUCGACUCUGAAUAGGAAAGCAUCCAGUCUUUCACCAUUAGGUAUGAUGUUAACUGUGGGUUUCGAUUCGUAGUUUGUUGAAUGCUUUUAUCAUGAA